CUUAGCUCAGUUGGAUAGAGCGCGGGAUUCCUAAUCCCGAGGCCGCAGGUUCGAUUCCUGCAGGG
Molecule: transfer RNA, 65 nt
Filed under: marine eukaryotic metagenome
Rfam family: tRNA
About the family: Transfer RNA (tRNA) molecules are approximately 80 nucleotides in length. Their secondary structure includes four short double-helical elements and three loops (D, anti-codon, and T loops). Further hydrogen bonds mediate the characteristic L-shaped molecular structure. tRNAs have two regions of fundamental functional importance: the anti-codon, which is responsible for specific mRNA codon recognition, and the 3' end, to which the tRNAs corresponding amino acid is attached (by aminoacyl-tRNA synthetases). tRNAs cope with the degeneracy of the genetic code in two manners: having more than one tRNA (with a specific anti-codon) for a particular amino acid; and 'wobble' base-pairing, i.e. permitting non-standard base-pairing at the 3rd anti-codon position.
Source: RNAcentral